GAGUUUGAUCCUGGCUCAGGAUUAACGCUGGCGGCGUGCCUAAUACAUGCAAGUCGAACGGAAGUACCUUCGGGUACUUUAGUGGCGAACGGGUGAGUAAUACAUAGGUAACCUACCCUUAAGACGAGGAUAGCCAUUGGAAACGAUGGAUAAAACUGGAUAGGAUAUAGAGGAAGAAUCUUUUAUAUUUAAAAGAGAGAUCUGCUUAAGGAGGGGCCUGUGGCGCAUUAGCUAGUUGGUGGGGUAAGGGCCUACCAAGGCGAUGAUGCGUAGCCGGACUGAGAGGUUGAACGGCCACAAUGGAACUGAGAACGGUCCAUACUCCUACGGGAGGCAGCAGUAGGGAAUUUUCGGCAAUGGGGGGAACCCUGACCGAGCAACGCCGCGUGAACGAAGAAGGUAUUCGUAAUGUAAAGUUCUU
Molecule: ribosomal RNA, 421 nt
Filed under: uncultured bacterium
Lineage: Bacteria
Description: bacterial SSU rRNA
Rfam family: Bacterial small subunit ribosomal RNA
Source: RNAcentral